This 2724-nucleotide ribosomal RNA is filed under the name Triticum aestivum (bread wheat). RNAcentral describes it as "partial small subunit ribosomal RNA". The record is from RNAcentral. Lineage: Eukaryota; Viridiplantae; Streptophyta; Magnoliopsida; Poales; Poaceae.
AUGGAUAUGUUUUAUAGACAAGAUGAAGAAGAUGAUUUCAAAGGGGUAGACGAAAGCUCCAGGGAUGAGAUACAAGAUGUUGGGGCUGAGAUCCAUCAUGCAUUAGGACAACACUUUUGUUUAUUGGUAUUCCAUAAUGGGAGUGACAACACAGUUGACUUCAGCGAUUUUGGCAUUCCCCAACCUGUCAUGAGUCAGUGGUACCUGUUUGGUACUAAAUUAUUGUGGACAUUCCGAGGAAGGCUUCGGCUCAACCAAGGAGUCAGUGAGAAGGUGGGUAAUUCACAUCUUUUUCUUUAUCGUGAGUUGAUUCCUCUAGGGUGGAAUUAUUUGUUGAAAAAAGAGGCUAGAGAAAUUGUUGGGUGCACGGAUAAGCUUGCUGAAGUAGCCGAAGAGUGUUGCUUGUAUAUGCUAGCACUAAAUUCUCAAGGAGGUGACAUCAUAGACUACAACUGGGCCACCCAUGCUUCUAGCUAUUGGGUUUGUGAUGGGAUUAUACAAGGAGGUCAGGGUGAUGAAGCAUGGGAGGUUGCAGCUGAUCUGCAUCAGCGGAUAUGUAUAGAGGAUUAUUCAUCUAAUGCACUGCCCUCUUUUGGUCAUGAACUACAAACUUCCCCGAAACGGUGGAUAUUCUCCAGGGGCAACUCUGUUGUGCAUCCAGAGUCAACGUCCUUUUUUCUUGCUAUAGCCGCAAGCAAAUCUGAUCCUCCAUUAAGACUGUUACCUAAUGACAUGUUCCAUAAACCAGACAAGCUCCGUGUGCUCAAGUUAUGCCUUUGCACCUUCAACUUUUCUUCACCUCCUUUCAGUUGUUGCCGCAACUUAAGGUUCCUUGGAUUAGAUGGCUGCAAAGAUGAGCGAGCGAAAGAAGAUGAGAAGCAAGAUAGACUAGCAAUUGAAUGUUUUCAGAGCAUAUGGGUACUAGACAUAUGCCACACGGAUUGGGAAUUUGCCUUGUCACCAGAGAUAACAGAGAAUAUGGCUGGAAACAUUAGAGAGGUACACAUAAAGAAGGGAAGGAUUUGGAUCCAUAGUUUUUCAUGGAGACAACUGCAAAACCUUCGCAAGCUUCGAGUAGUUGAGCCUACAUGCCCUUGGGAGACGGGCAAAAAGGAUGAAUUUACUAACAUGGUGAAGAUGGAGUUUCUCGACCUUUCUUGGAAUACUACAAUACAAGUUUUGCCAAGUCUGUCACGGGAAAGUAGUAUCAAGACUCUGGUUCUAGAUGGUUGUGUUGGAUUGGAGCAUGUUGAAGGACUCCCUCCAUCACUUGAAUCAUUCAGCUUAGAUGCAGGACUAACAGAGGAUGAUUACAAGAAAGCCAAAUUAAGCCGCAUCUCCAUGGCCGGCUGUGCAAGAUUGUCUGACUUCACAUUGCGUGGAUCACUUCCAAACCUUGAGGAACUAGACCUCUCAGACACAAAAGUCAAGACACUUGACCUCGAAAAUGAGGUGGUGCAGGUUCCAUGUCUCAAACAAAUUAUUCUAUUGAGAUGUAUGCAACUCCAUUCCAUUCUAUGGCCAGAAGUGGGUCUGCCAACACUGACAGUGCUGCAUAUUGAUUCCUCAGUCUAUCCUAUUCAAACAAAACUACAUGAAGUGUAUGUUAGUAUAGUGGACAUAAGAUUUUUUCAGUCCUUGGUAUUACGAAGCAAUCUCCAAUUCUGUUGGAAGAGCAAUAGGUUCCAUCUAAAUCUUUGUGUACCUUGUACCACAAAUGUUAAGGAACAAAGUUAUAUGAAGGAGAAGAUGGGCCCUGGUAAUAGUGGGAAAAUAAUGGGUCCCCCUCAACCGAAGUCAUUAAACCCCAAUACUUGCAGCACCUACAUUGAUGUCCCUAUUGGCAACAUAAUUAUUGAUCACAACUACAACAGUGGAAUGCAGUUUCAGCCAUCGGGCUGCCAUGUGGAGAUUGGUAAGGGAGUUAGCAACGCUAGCAUGGAGAGUGUGCAAGCAAUCAAGGCUAUCAUCUUUGCACUGAAUGAAGCCAAGUCGUUGCAUGUGCAUGACAAUUCUUCCAUCACCACUAUUAUCACUGAACACAUGAUGUCUAGAGCUGGGAUUGAUCUUGACUGGAAACAUCUAAAACAUUGUCAUGUGGUGAGAUGCCCCAAGAUGCGCAUAGUCUUCAAGACUAACUAUGGUGGGUACCCCUUUACAGAAAUAGAGACCUUUUGGGCAGCUGAUCUACCAAUGUCACACUGCAUUUGGAGCAAAGGAAAGACCUACAGUGGCACGGAAACUGGGUGCUUUGCCAAACUGCGGAGCAUACACCUAUACUCUUGCCCAAGACUCACAUUUGUGCUUCCAUUAUUGUGGGGUAUUCAAGGAUCAUACUUGCACAAAUUAGAAAGUCUCCACAUUGUCAACUGCAGUGAUCUGAAGACGGUGUUCCCUGUUCAUCCUGGCCUCAAAGGAAAUGUACUUGAGUUCCCAAGGCUGAAGCACAUCCAGCUAUAUGAGCUCUAUAAGUUGGAGCAUAUAUGUGAGGUCAAGAUGCAUGCUCCCAAGCUUGAGAGGGUAUGGCUCAGGGGCUGUUGGAGUCUCAGGCGCCUCCCAGCGGUUGGCGGAGAUAGCCGUCGCCCCGUCGUGGACUGUGAGCAGGACUGGUGGGAGAAGCUGGAGUGGGACGGGCUGGAGGCUGGCCACGAUCCAUGCCUCUUCGAGCGGCGCCACUCGUCACAUUACAAGAAGCCCUUGCCCAGAGUUUCUGUGCUUCAGUGA